GGAAUAGAUAUAUUUAAGAAAAUCCAAAAGCGAAAUUAACGUGACUGUUUAUUAUGGGAUUACAUUUAUUUAUUAUAUGUAUAAAAUAUAAAUGAAUUUCCAUCCCAGGGCGAUUUAUAAUUAAUUUUUAUUAUGAAAUCGUACCUUGAGCAUACAUGGUAGGACCCGAAAGAUGGUGAACUAUGCCUGAUCAGGUUGAAGUCAGGGGAAACCCUGAUGGAGGACCGAAGCAGUUCUGACGUGCAAAUCGAUUGUCAGAAUUGGGUAUAGGGGCGAAAGACCAAUCGAACCAUCUAGUAGCUGGUUCCUUCCGACGA
Molecule: ribosomal RNA, 317 nt
Filed under: Sergentomyia zeylanica
Lineage: Eukaryota; Metazoa; Arthropoda; Insecta; Diptera; Psychodidae
Description: eukaryotic LSU rRNA
Rfam family: Eukaryotic large subunit ribosomal RNA
Source: RNAcentral